This 103-nucleotide small nucleolar RNA is filed under the name Nomascus leucogenys (northern white-cheeked gibbon). Its description in RNAcentral is "Small nucleolar RNA U13". It matches the Rfam family "Small nucleolar RNA U13". Lineage: Eukaryota; Metazoa; Chordata; Mammalia; Primates; Hylobatidae. The record is from Rfam by way of RNAcentral.
AUCCUGUUGUAGCUCAUAGCAUGAUUACUGGUUUUUCACACUCAUGCGUGAGAUGUGCCUCCCUCAAACCUUGUUACCAUGUCCCCACAUUACCUGCCUGACA